This 355-nucleotide ribosomal RNA is filed under the name uncultured prokaryote. Its description in RNAcentral is "bacterial SSU rRNA". It matches the Rfam family "Bacterial small subunit ribosomal RNA", at positions 21 to 352 of the family's 1533-position model. The record is from RNAcentral.
AGAUUAGAACGCGUGGCGGCAUCGACCUAAACACAUGACAAGUCGAGGCGGCAGCGGGCGGGGGCCGACCCGUGGCGGCGAGCGGCGGGACGGGUGAAGUAAGGCAGUACGGAAUCUCGCCCUGAUGGUGGGGGAAUAACGGUAAGGGUAAACUUACGACUAAUACCGCAUACCGACCGAGAGGUAGAAAGGCGGGGGAACCGAAAGGCCUCGCGCAGCGAGGAUGACGCCGAUCGUCCGAUUAGUUAGUUGGUGGGGGUAAAAGGCCUACCAAGGCUACGAUCGGUAGCUGGUCUGAGAGGACGACCAGCCACACUGGGACUGAGACACGGCCCAGACUCCUACGGGAGGCAGC